Aegilops tauschii subsp. strangulata is the source of this 2198-nucleotide non-coding RNA. NCBI's taxonomy places the organism in Eukaryota, Viridiplantae, Streptophyta, Magnoliopsida, Poales, Poaceae. The record is from RefSeq and is a predicted model, not a curated record.
GCAGCCUUCCUUCGCGCAAUUAAAAAAACAGGACCCACUCCCGUCCCACGUCCCGUCUCCCAACUCCCAAGUCCCAAUCUCCCCCACCUCUCUCUCCCGAUCCGUCCUCUCUCUCGAUCUCAUGAGAAAAAUCGCCACCUUCGCCUCCGCCCCAACACUCGUCCGCCACGAUGAACUGCCCAUCUCCAUCGCCGUUCGAUGCUCGUCUCGGUCACCGUGGCGCAGCCCGUGCAAGCCGCCCUUGUACGGCCUCCUCGCCUCCGCCACCGCAACAACCGUCGCUUCCAUGGACUACGUCGACGAGCGGCCAACCAGAUCCAGUGCAGCGCCGCCGAUGUCUGGGUGGAAGACGAGCGCGAGCUUCCGGGGUCAGCAUACCACCGGGAAGGAGGGCAGACGGAUGAGAGGGAGGCUCUCCAAGGAGGAAGCCGGCCAGCUUGUCACCAGGGGAGGCCGACCAGCAUAUAUAGGCAUGGUUGUCGUUGGCAGAGAUUGUGUAGGGAUGGACUAUCUUUGAGAUCCUGCGGUACAUGUCGGAGCAUAACUGGUCGGCGUACGAGGAGGCCCUCAAGGCCAAUCCGGUUCUUGCCAAGAUGAUGAUCAGCAGCGUCGUCUACUCCCUCGGCGACUGGAUAGCCCAGGGUGCUCUAGCGUGACGACACGCCUACUUAGUUCCUAGCGCUCGCGAACGCCGGAGUUGGACGCGCCCAUGCAUGCAUUUUAGCUCCGAGGACGGCAUCGUGAACGCACAUACUCAGGUGCUCCUCAGCAGCAGUUGAUCCACGUGGGGUUCUACUUGAGUUCCUCCGUCCCCUGGCAGCGAGGCAGCAGGUCCCCGUCCCCCUCUCCGUCUCCGGCAUGUUGAUCCUGGUGGCGUCACAGUGGUGGUGUGUGUGGUGUCAUGUCACAAUAAGGUAGCAUCUGUUCUUUCCCCACCCUAAUUUUUGUGGUCAGCGUCCGGAGCCCAACCUACCGAUCGUUGUCCCCAAACCUCACCGACUUCUUCUAUGGGUGCUCUUUCUUCCCCCUCUCUCGUUUCACUUGACGCUGAUAGCUGAUUGCUAGCAUCCUCGGUUGUGCUCAUGUCUUCUAAAUUUGGCAUGGUAUGCAUUUGCUUGAGAUGAGGGUAUGGGAUGGAGGUGGCUCUAAUUUCAAGGCUGUGGUUUAUUGGGCUUAUAAUGUCGACAUGAUUAAUGAUAUGAACCGUAUGUUUUGUUUUCCACAAAAUAGGUUUUUUCUAUGCAAUAUGAGGCUAGGUUUCAAUAACAUGUGCCUUGCAUUCGAUGGCUAUACAGUAACAUGCUCUCUGAGAAAAGGUUAUGUUUCAUGUUAUUAUUAUCUAUUGCCUUGCAUUCGAUGGAAAAUUGACAACCGCUAUGUCAUAUCUUUGCCCACUCAUGAUGCCAAUAAAUAGUUCAAAAAAAUUAGAAAGACUUAUAUAUUUCACUAUGCUAGCUACAUAUGUUUAUGAUGGUUUAUUUUCACCAAAUUUUGUUGCACUUUGACAGUAGACUAUGUGAUAAUUUGUAAUAGAGUUCAGAGAAACUGGCAACACACAGUUCCAAAAGAGUGCAAUGCACAUGGAAGGAAAGACUGUAGUAUUAGCUGUUGUAAUCUACGAAAUUUCGUACUGCGUGAGUAAGGUUAAGAAUGACCAACUGAUUGAACUUGUUCACAACAUUAACAGUAAUCAUGAUAAACUUAGUAUUCCUGACUUUCUAUUUCUUGUUGUUUUCUACUGUGGACCUAUUUGCAGGUUUUUACAGAGGAAUUAGUUUAGGUGUUACUGGUUCACUUGCUACAGCUGAAACAUAUUUUGCUGUUAUUGUUAUUGAAUGAACUAAGAUAUGGCUGGAGCACACUAAUCCUAAUCUAAGAGGUCAUUUCUCUCACUUAUUUGCUGGAGGAGUUAGAGAGAAAUUUUUUUAUGACCACUGUGUUUUCUUUCCAGAAAAUCUGCAUGACGUGGCGUAAAAUUUAUAUUGGUUCUCAGCAUGUUACUAGGAUCUUGCUGCACAAAUGGAUUUUUGUAUGUCCUGCAUGGAGUUCUCGAUAAGUUAAUCCUUGUCAUUUUUUAGUGCCACCAAUGCAUGUGGUCUUUGUAUAUUAAAACUUUUCCGGUCUCUGUUUUGGCUCAUGUAAUACUUACCGAUACGAUUUACUUGUUCAUCAGAAUAAUGUGUUGAUUCCUUGACACA